Molecule: ribosomal RNA, 388 nt
Filed under: Pinna nobilis
Lineage: Eukaryota; Metazoa; Mollusca; Bivalvia; Pterioida; Pinnidae
Description: partial 16S ribosomal RNA
Rfam family: Bacterial large subunit ribosomal RNA
Source: RNAcentral
UCCUAGCCUUUUAAUUGGAGGCCUGCAUGAAUGGCUUGACGAGCGCCCUGCUGUCUCUCUUCCCAUGAACUUUUAAAUUAACUUUCGCGUGCAAAGGCGCGAAUGGCUGAGUUAGACGAAAAGACCCUAUGCAUCUUUACUGAGAGAGAAGAAAGUUCUUUAGCUUGGUUUAGCUGGGGCAGCUGAGGAAAAGGCAAAAUUUCCUUAAUAUAAAUCAUACUGGUGGGUUUAGAUCCAGGCUCUUUAGCGGGCUUGACAAGUAGAAAAGUUACGCUAGGGAUAACAGCGUUAUCCUUCUGUGGAGGUCUUAUCUGCAGGAGGGAUUGCGACCUCGAUGUUGAAUUAGGGAUAUACCAGAAAGGCGCAGAAGCUUUUAUUGUGGGUCUGU